UUGAUGUUUUACAGUAAGCCAGGUGAGGAACACUGCAGUUGAUGUUUUACAGUAAGCCAGGCGAGGAACACUGCAGUUGAUGUUUUACAGUAAGCCAGGCGAGGAACACUGCAGUUGAUGUUUUACAGUAAGCCAGGUGAGGAACACUGCAGUUGAUGUUUUACAGUAAGCCAGGUGAGGAACACUGCAGUUGAUGUUUUACAGUAAGCCAGGUGAGGAACACUGCAGUUGAUGUUUUACAGUAAGCCAGGUGAGGAACACUGCAGUUGAUGUUUUACAGUAAGCCAGGUGAGGAACACUGCAGUUGAUGUUUUACAGUAAGCCAGGCGAGGAACACUGCAGUUGAUGUUUUACAGUAAGCCAGGUGAGGAACACUGCAGUUGAUGUUUUACAGUAAGCCAGGUGAGGAACACUGCAGUUGAUGUUUUACAGUAAGCCAGGUGAGGAACACUGCAGUUGAUGUUUUACAGUAAGCCAGGU
Long non-coding RNA from Oncorhynchus keta (chum salmon), 480 nucleotides. RefSeq lists it as uncharacterized. The record is from RefSeq and is a predicted model, not a curated record. Lineage: Eukaryota; Metazoa; Chordata; Actinopteri; Salmoniformes; Salmonidae. The transcript has 3 exons.